This 220-nucleotide non-coding RNA is filed under the name Rhodanobacter spathiphylli. Lineage: Bacteria; Pseudomonadati; Pseudomonadota; Gammaproteobacteria; Lysobacterales; Rhodanobacteraceae. RNAcentral also lists the same sequence under 1 other name. The record is from RNAcentral.
AAUUUUCACAACGCUCAAGGUAACUAUCUCUUCAUGCGAAUGAAGAGAUAUCUCAAGGGAAGCCGGUGCGAAUCCGGCGCUGCCCCGCAGCGGUAUGUGGAAACGACCUCCGUCACCGGCACUGGGUGCAACACGCCCGGGAAGCGACGGACAGUAGGCGGCCGACACUUUGCCGGUCACGUCCACGAGCCCGAAUACCUGCCUCGGCCGGAAGCGGCAC